GCCAGGGUGGCAGAACCCGGUUAUUGCGCCAGUCUUGAAAACUGGUUCCCGCAAGGGAUUCCGAGUUCAAAUCUCGGCCCUGGCU
This 85-nucleotide transfer RNA is filed under the name Candidatus Burarchaeum sp. RNAcentral describes it as "tRNA-Ser". It matches the Rfam family "tRNA". From Rfam's summary of the family: Transfer RNA (tRNA) molecules are approximately 80 nucleotides in length. Their secondary structure includes four short double-helical elements and three loops (D, anti-codon, and T loops). Lineage: Archaea; Nanobdellati; Microcaldota; Candidatus Micrarchaeia; Candidatus Burarchaeales; Candidatus Burarchaeaceae. The record is from RNAcentral.